This 303-nucleotide ribosomal RNA is filed under the name Parageobacillus thermoglucosidasius TNO-09.020. Its description in RNAcentral is "bacterial LSU rRNA". It matches the Rfam family "Bacterial large subunit ribosomal RNA", at positions 2623 to 2925 of the family's 2925-position model. The record is from RNAcentral. Lineage: Bacteria; Bacillati; Bacillota; Bacilli; Caryophanales; Anoxybacillaceae.
GAGACAGUUCGGUCCCUAUCCGUCGCGGGCGCAGGAAUUUGAGAGGAGCUGUCCUUAGUACGAGAGGACCGGGAUGGACGCACCGCUGGUGUACCAGUUGUCCCGCCAGGGGCACCGCUGGGUAGCUAUGUGCGGAAGGGAUAAGCGCUGAAAGCAUCUAAGCGUGAAGCCCCCCUCAAGAUGAGAUUUCCCAUCGCGUCAAGCGAGUAAGAUCCCUCGAAGAUGACGAGGUCGAUAGGUCCGAGGUGGAAGCGUGGCGACACGUGGAGCUGACGGAUACUAAUCGAUCGAGGGCUUAACCAC